UACGUAGGCAGCAAGCGUUGUUCGGAGUUACUGGGCGUAAAGGGUGCGUAGGUGGUCGUUUUAAGUCCGUUGUGAAAUCCCUGGGCUCAACCUGGGAAUGGCAGUGGAUACUGGACGGCUAGAAUGCGGUAGAGGGUAGUGGAAUUCCCGGUGUAGCAGUGAAAUGCGUAGAGAUCGGGAGGAACACCAGUAGCGAAGGCGGCUACCUGGACCAGCAUUGACACUCAAGCACGAAAGCGUGGGGAGCAAACAGG
RNAcentral lists this ribosomal RNA (254 nucleotides) under uncultured bacterium. RNAcentral describes it as "partial 16S ribosomal RNA". It matches the Rfam family "Bacterial small subunit ribosomal RNA", at positions 524 to 776 of the family's 1533-position model. The record is from RNAcentral.